This 475-nucleotide ribosomal RNA is filed under the name uncultured organism. Its description in RNAcentral is "partial 16S ribosomal RNA". It matches the Rfam family "Bacterial small subunit ribosomal RNA", at positions 331 to 797 of the family's 1533-position model. The record is from RNAcentral.
GUACACUCCUGCGGGAGGCAGCAGUGGGGAAUAUUGCACAAUGGGCGCAAGCCUGAUGCAGCCAUGCCGCGUGUAUGAAGAAGGCCUUCGGGUUGUAAAGUACUUUCAGCGGGGAGGAAGGCAAUACGGUUAAUAACCGUGUUGAUUGACGUUACCCGCAGAAGAAGCACCGGCUAACUCCGUGCCAGCAGCCGCGGUAAUACGGAGGGUGCAAGCGUUAAUCGGAAUUACUGGGCGUAAAGCGCACGCAGGCGGUCUGUCAAGUCGGAUGUGAAAUCCCCGGGCUCAACCUGGGAACUGCAUUCGAAACUGGCAGGCUUGAGUCUUGUAGAGGGGGGUAGAAUUCCAGGUGUAGCGGUGAAAUGCGUAGAGAUCUGGAGGAAUACCGGUGGCGAAGGCGGCCCCCUGGACAAAGACUGACGCUCAGGUGCGAAAGCGUGGGGAGCAAACAGGAUUAGAAACCCCUGUAGUCCCA